RNAcentral lists this transfer RNA (73 nucleotides) under Stegodyphus mimosarum. It matches the Rfam family "tRNA". From Rfam's summary of the family: Transfer RNA (tRNA) molecules are approximately 80 nucleotides in length. Their secondary structure includes four short double-helical elements and three loops (D, anti-codon, and T loops). The record is from Rfam by way of RNAcentral. Lineage: Eukaryota; Metazoa; Arthropoda; Arachnida; Araneae; Eresidae.
GGCUUCGUGGUGUAGCGGUCAGCACUCUCAGACCGCGUUCGAGAGGGCCGUGGUUCGAAUCCCGGCGACGCCA